UGUACUUCUUCAGGGUAAAAACUCUUUGCUUUCCCAGUCCCCAUCCUGCUGUCCAUCCACUUGAGAACGGGGGGAAGAGAAGCAGUCAUUGAAGACAGAGCCCAGUGGAUUGGAUUUUGGAGGAGCUGAGGUUUUUCCUGUCAGAGAUCCAUGAUGGGGAUAUUUUUCCUGGAUGUCCCAAAGGGAAGGAGCAACUUUGAAGUUGUUGCAGCCACAUGCUGUGGAUGCAUCCCCUGAAAACCAGUUCAGGAUUGUUCAUCUGACUCUGACCCUGAUCAGUGGCUUCCAGGGAGUCUUCUGGUGUUCUGAAUAUUCCCAGGAGAAAGAUAUUCCAGCACCUGCUUUUUAAGCCAGGAAUUCCACACCCAGGACCACAAAGACCUUCUGGACUUUGUUAUCUCAUCCCAUGGCAAAGAACACCUCCAAAACUGCCUCGUCACCUUUAUGGAAUGACAAUGGAUGUUGGGAGCUCUGGCAGAAGCACCUGGAGACCAGACUGUCUUCCUCUUGGUGCCUGGCCUGUCGCCACAAUCCCUGGGGACUGCUGGAAGCCUGGACACUGGAACCUGGGCUGCUGGAGGGCUACAGCAGACCAGUAAAGCCAGGCCAUCACCAGCAGGGUAGCAUCUCCCCAGCAGCCCCACCAGGACUUCCCUUACCGAGCCGCUGUGUGAGAGGACUGAGGAGGAGAAAGGAGGACACAAGAAGAGCCCCAGGAUGAAGGGGAUGGAGGACGAUGGUGCC
Molecule: long non-coding RNA, 744 nt
Organism: Poecile atricapillus (Black-capped chickadee)
Lineage: Eukaryota; Metazoa; Chordata; Aves; Passeriformes; Paridae
Exons: 4
Source: RefSeq, a predicted model, not a curated record